This 706-nucleotide ribosomal RNA is filed under the name Arthrobacter agilis. RNAcentral's name for it is "bacterial SSU rRNA". It matches the Rfam family "Bacterial small subunit ribosomal RNA", at positions 68 to 778 of the family's 1533-position model. The record is from RNAcentral. Lineage: Bacteria; Bacillati; Actinomycetota; Actinomycetes; Micrococcales; Micrococcaceae.
GAUGAACCUCACUUGUGGGGGGAUUAGUGGCGAACGGGUGAGUAACACGUGAGUAACCUGCCCUUGACUCUGGGAUAAGCCUGGGAAACCGGGUCUAAUACUGGAUACGACCUUCUGGCGCAUGCCAUGUUGGUGGAAAGCUUUUGUGGUUUUGGAUGGACUCGCGGCCUAUCAGCUUGUUGGUGGGGUAAUGGCCUACCAAGGCGACGACGGGUAGCCGGCCUGAGAGGGUGACCGGCCACACUGGGACUGAGACACGGCCCAGACUCCUACGGGAGGCAGCAGUGGGGAAUAUUGCACAAUGGGCGCAAGCCUGAUGCAGCGACGCCGCGUGAGGGAUGAAGGCCUUCGGGUUGUAAACCUCUUUCAGUAGGGAAGAAGCCGGCCUUUGGGUUGGUGACGGUACCUGCAGAAGAAGCGCCGGCUAACUACGUGCCAGCAGCCGCGGUAAUACGUAGGGCGCAAGCGUUAUCCGGAAUUAUUGGGCGUAAAGAGCUCGUAGGCGGUUUGUCGCGUCUGCCGUGAAAGUCCGGGGCUUAACCCCGGAUCUGCGGUGGGUACGGGCAGACUAGAGUGCAGUAGGGGAGACUGGAAUUCCUGGUGUAGCGGUGAAAUGCGCAGAUAUCAGGAGGAACACCGAUGGCGAAGGCAGGUCUCUGGGCUGUAACUGACGCUGAGGAGCGAAAGCAUGGGGAGCGAACAGGAU